CGACGGGUCAGAGGUCAGCAAAACAAUGGCGUCUGGUGGUGAUGCCGCUCCGCUUCAAGUGCCUAGCGUUUGUAUUUGAAUGCCUCAUUUCAACCUUGCUGAUGGAUUAGUGAUGCAGAACAGCGGCAAGUCAGAGUUCUCCAUCGCCGUCUCUGAACCCCGUGCAGCCCUCAGAGCAGCCAGGCAUCGACCAUCCUUCCUGAGUCAGAGGCGAUGGCUUGACUUGGAUGGCAUGACCUGGCGGAUGCUCUGAAAGCCCUGACUAAAGUGCCAGCCUGUGUUAACAGCUUACAAAGAGUGAUCCCUGAGGGGAGAGACGGAGAGUGGGGGAUAAAUGAAGAACUGGGCUGCAGACGGAGUGGACAGCCACUGAACAUGAGCUGAUUUCUGAUACAGCAGAAUGGGUCUGACGGGAACUCAAAUGCCUGGCAAGGAGAAAAGAACGUUGAAUAAAAGCCAAGCGGAAUCAGCAUGUAUAGCAACGAAAGGGUCCUCAUCUCUGUUGCUGAUUUUGAAGUGGGCGCGUCCAUCACCAC
This is a long non-coding RNA of Pungitius pungitius (ninespine stickleback), 536 nucleotides long. RefSeq lists it as uncharacterized. Lineage: Eukaryota; Metazoa; Chordata; Actinopteri; Perciformes; Gasterosteidae. The transcript is spliced from 5 exons. The record is from RefSeq and is a predicted model, not a curated record.